Molecule: long non-coding RNA, 357 nt
Organism: Ailuropoda melanoleuca (giant panda)
Lineage: Eukaryota; Metazoa; Chordata; Mammalia; Carnivora; Ursidae
Exons: 3
Source: RefSeq, a predicted model, not a curated record
CGGGAGCAGAGGUUGGAGUGAUACAAAGGGCUCCACAGAAGCUGGAAAAGGCCGAGAACAGACUUUACCCUAGAGCCGGGAUCUAGAAUGGUGGAGCAGCCACAUUGAGAACACGGAUGAUCACUGUGGAAGAGGAAGAAAUUCACGUGGUCACAUGGCAUUGGCACCUAAAGCUUCCUUCUCAAGAAAAAACCCUCACAUGUGGAGGUGGCAGCCGAGCAAAUCUGUGCAGGUAGAGUGGUUGACAGUGUCAGGAACCCCAAAGUGAAGAUGAACGAGACCACGUUGAGCACAAUGGGAUGAUAUGUGUUUGGCAGAACUUUGAGGGGGUUCUGACUUUGACCUCGUCCCUGAGAU